This 462-nucleotide ribosomal RNA is filed under the name Triticum aestivum (bread wheat). RNAcentral describes it as "partial small subunit ribosomal RNA". Lineage: Eukaryota; Viridiplantae; Streptophyta; Magnoliopsida; Poales; Poaceae. The record is from RNAcentral.
AUGGAGUUCUCCAUUGCAGAACUCCCAACCGGAGAAUGGUACAGGGAAGGUGUAGCCAUUAUUGAGGCAGGGGAAGGCAGGCUUGGGAUGUUUGGUCUCCGUGGUGAAAAUGAAAUUGCAUCUGAUCUCAGUUAUUGCACCAUUGUGCGUAACAGCGGUGAGAGUCCCAACCAGUGGCUGAUGGAGAAGACAACCUCACUAGUUUCUGGGUACCACUAUUUUAUCAAAGCUGUAACAGAGAGGUGUUUGCUAUUGAUGAGAACAGAAUCCUUGCCAGGUUCACCUAUAGAGAAGCCACUCCUAGAGUAUUUCACAAUGGACAUCAACACAUUGCAGCUUCAGAGGGUUUGUGCGAAACGAUUCAAGCUUAGGCUGCCCCCGUCAAGCAUAUAUGCCUACUUUUUUCAAACCGGGAUGUAUACCAACUUUCCACCAUCGUUGUUACCUCCAUGGACAGUAUGA